UUAACUCAAAUUUGUAUAGAGUUGGAACGUUUGCCUACGUUUGCCGCUAGGGGCGCUGUUCAAACUGAAUACAAAUUUUAGUUA
Bombyx mori (domestic silkworm) is the source of this 84-nucleotide non-coding RNA. NCBI's taxonomy places the organism in Eukaryota, Metazoa, Arthropoda, Insecta, Lepidoptera, Bombycidae. The record is from Rfam.